UUUUAAAUUUAGAGUUUGAUCCUGGCUCAGGACGAACGCUGGCGGCGUGCUUAACACAUGCAAGUCGAGCGAUGAAACUUCCUUCGGGAAGUGGAUUAGCGGCGGACGGGUGAGUAACACGUGGGUAACCUGCCUCAAAGUGGGGGAUAGCCUUCCGAAAGGAAGAUUAAUACCGCAUAAUAUGAGAGAAUCGCAUGAUUUUCUUAUCAAAGAUUUAUUGCUUUGAGAUGGACCCGCGGCGCAUUAGCUAGUUGGUAAGGUAACGGCUUACCAAGGCAACGAUGCGUAGCCGACCUGAGAGGGUGAUCGGCCACAUUGGAACUGAGACACGGUCCAGACUCCUACGGGAGGCAGCAGUGGGGAAUAUUGCGCAAUGGGGGAAACCCUGACGCAGCAACGCCGCGUGGGUGAUGAAGGUCUUCGGAUUGUAAAGCCCUGUUUUCUAGGACGAUAAUGACGGUACUAGAGGAGGAAGCCACGGCUAACUACGUGCCAGCAGCCGCGGUAAUACGUAGGUGGCGAGCGUUGUCCGGAUUUACUGGGCGUAAAGGGUGCGUAGGCGGAUGUUUAAGUGGGAUGUGAAAUCCCCGGGCUUAACCUGGGGGCUGCAUUCCAAACUGGAUAUCUAGAGUGCAGGAGAGGAAAGCGGAAUUCCUAGUGUAGCGGUGAAAUGCGUAGAGAUUAGGAAGAACACCAGUGGCGAAGGCGGCUUUCUGGACUGUAACUGACGCUGAGGCACGAAAGCGUGGGUAGCAAACAGGAUUAGAUACCCUGGUAGUCCACGCCGUAAACGAUGGAUACUAGGUGUAGGGGGUAUCAACUCCCCCUGUGCCGCAGUUAACACAAUAAGUAUCCCGCCUGGGGAGUACGGUCGCAAGAUUAAAACUCAAAGGAAUUGACGGGGGCCCGCACAAGCAGCGGAGCAUGUGGUUUAAUUCGAAGCAACGCGAAGAACCUUACCUGGACUUGACAUCCCUUGCAUAGCCUAGAGAUAGGUGAAGCCCUUCGGGGCAAGGAGACAGGUGGUGCAUGGUUGUCGUCAGCUCGUGUCGUGAGAUGUUAGGUUAAGUCCUGCAACGAGCGCAACCCUUGUUAUUAGUUGCUACCAUUAAGUUGAGCACUCUAAUGANNNNNNNNNNNNNNNNNNNNNNNNNNNNNNNNNNNNNNNNNNNNNNNNNNNNNNNNNNNNNNNNNNNNNNNNNAAAACCUAUCUCAGUUCGGAUUGUAGGCUGCAACUCGCCUACAUGAAGCUGGAGUUGCUAGUAAUCGCGAAUCAGAAUGUCGCGGUGAAUACGUUCCCGGGCCUUGUACACACCGCCCGUCACACCAUGAGAGCUGGUAACACCCGAAGUCCGUGAGGUAACCGUAAGGAACCAGCGGCCGAAGGUGGGAUUAGUGAUUGGGGUGAAGUCGUAACAAGGUAGCCGUAGGAGAACCUGCGGCUGGAUCACCUCCUUUCUAA
This 1462-nucleotide ribosomal RNA is filed under the name Clostridium botulinum. RNAcentral describes it as "16S ribosomal RNA". It matches the Rfam family "Bacterial small subunit ribosomal RNA". The record is from RNAcentral. Lineage: Bacteria; Bacillati; Bacillota; Clostridia; Eubacteriales; Clostridiaceae.